ACGGCUCAGUAACACGUGGCUAACCCACCCUUGAGACGGAGAAAACCCCGGGAAACUGGGGUUAAUCUCCGAUAAGAGAAGACACCUGGAAUGGGUCUCCUCUCAAAGGGCGCCUAGACCAUGCUUCUAGGCGUUGCUCAAGGACGGGGCCGCGGCCGAUCAGGUUGUUGGUGAGGCAACGGCUCACCAAGCCUAUAACCGGUACGGGCCGUGAGAGCGGGAGCCCGGAGAUGGGCACUGAGAUAAGGGCCCAGGCCCUACGGGGCGCAGCAGUUGCGAAAACUCCGCAAUGCACGCAAGUGUGACGGGACUACCCCGAGUGCCGUCCGCUGAGGACGGCUUUUCCCCGGUGUAAGGAGCCGGGGGAAUAAGGAGAGGGCAAGUCUGGUGUCAGCCGCCGCGGUAAUACCAGCUCUCCGAGUGGUAGGGAUGAUUAUUGGGCUUAAAGCGUCCGUAGCCGGCCCGGCAAGUCUUCCGUUAAAUCCAACGAUUCAAUCGUUGGACUGCAGGAGAUACUGUUGGGCUAGGAGGCGGGAGAGGCCGACGGUAUUCUCGGGGUAGGGGUAAAAUCCUAUAAUCCCGGGAGGACCACCAGUGGCGAAGGCGGUCGGCUAGAACGCGCUCGACGGUGAGGGACGAAAGCUGGGGGAGCGAACCGGAUUAGAUACCCGGGUAGUCCCAGCUGUAAACGAUGCGGGCUAGGUGUUGGGGCGGCUACGGGCCGCUUCAGUGCCGCAGGGAAACCAUUAAGCCCGCCGCCUGGGGAGUACGGCCGCAAGGCUGAAACUUAAAGGAAUUGGCGGGGGAG
RNAcentral lists this ribosomal RNA (808 nucleotides) under uncultured archaeon. RNAcentral's name for it is "bacterial SSU rRNA". It matches the Rfam family "Archaeal small subunit ribosomal RNA", at positions 85 to 876 of the family's 1478-position model. The record is from RNAcentral.